UAUAAAAAAAUAUUUUUGCGACUCAUAGACCAUCAGCAUGCAUAUUUAAAACUGUUUUCAAUCACUUUUUAAUGUGUAAACAACAUAAACGCUUCUGGAAGUAGAUUAAAAUUCCAGCGAUGCUUAAAAGGCCACCGUAGCUCAAAGGAUAGCAUGUUUCCCUCUGAUGCUGAACAAACGUAUGGGUUCAAAUUCCGGCGACAGCGAAAAUAAAAAAAUUGUGAUGGUUCCUGUCCUACCUUUUGAUCUUUUGUAAUCAGCCGUGUAAACUUCUGUACUAAGUGGUGGCGUUCUGCGGCAAGGCUUUAGGACUCGGUUAUUAAAAGGAGGUACCUUAUCAUUAAGCUUGAAUUUGUAUUGGACAGCACUCAUUGUUAUGAGAGAAGUAUCACUACUAUACCCUGAUGGAAUGUUCAUGGGCAAA
Stomoxys calcitrans (stable fly) is the source of this 424-nucleotide long non-coding RNA. RefSeq lists it as uncharacterized. The record is from RefSeq and is a predicted model, not a curated record. NCBI's taxonomy places the organism in Eukaryota, Metazoa, Arthropoda, Insecta, Diptera, Muscidae. The transcript is spliced from 2 exons.